UUGAGAUCGUAGCAAAGGGGUUAAUGCGAUUACCUUUUAAGCAAUAGGCGCAGGUUCGAAUCCUGCCGUCUCAGU
This 75-nucleotide transfer RNA is filed under the name Streptococcus equi subsp. equi. Its description in RNAcentral is "tRNA-Lys(ttt)". It matches the Rfam family "tRNA". From Rfam's summary of the family: Transfer RNA (tRNA) molecules are approximately 80 nucleotides in length. Their secondary structure includes four short double-helical elements and three loops (D, anti-codon, and T loops). Lineage: Bacteria; Bacillati; Bacillota; Bacilli; Lactobacillales; Streptococcaceae. The record is from RNAcentral.